Molecule: ribosomal RNA, 450 nt
Filed under: uncultured bacterium
Lineage: Bacteria
Description: partial 16S ribosomal RNA
Rfam family: Bacterial small subunit ribosomal RNA
Source: RNAcentral
GUGGGGAAUAUUGGACAAUGGGCGAAAGCCUGAUCCAGCCAUGCCGCGUGUGUGAAGAAGGUCUUCGGAUUGUAAAGCACUUUAAGUUGGGAGGAAGGGCAGUAAGUUAAUACCUUGCUGUUUUGACGUUACCGACAGAAUAAGCACCGGCUAACUUCGUGCCAGCAGCCGCGGUAAUACGAAGGGUGCAAGCGUUAAUCGGAAUUACUGGGCGUAAAGCGCGCGUAGGUGGUUUUGUAAGUUAGAGGUGAAAUCCCCGGGCUCAACCUGGGAACUGCCUCCAAAACUGCAUGACUAGAGUACGGUAGAGGGUAGUGGAAUUUCCUGUGUAGCGGUGAAAUGCGUAGAUAUAGGAAGGAACACCAGUGGCGAAGGCGACUACCUGGACUGAUACUGACACUGAGGUGCGAAAGCGUGGGGAGCAAACAGGAUUAGAUACCCCGGUAGUCC